GUGCUCGCUUCGGCAGCACAUAUACUAAAAUUGGAACGAUAGAGAAGAUUAGCAUGGCCCCUAUGUAAGGAUGACACGCAAAUUCGUGAAGCAUUCCAUAUUUUA
This is a small nuclear RNA of Bison bison bison, 105 nucleotides long. Lineage: Eukaryota; Metazoa; Chordata; Mammalia; Artiodactyla; Bovidae. The record is from Ensembl.